CACUUACUCCCUCCGUUCCAUAAUUCAUGUCUCAAAUUUGACCAAAAAAGGAUGUAUCUAUCCCUAAAAAGUGUCUAGAUACAUCUAAUAUUUCGACAAGAAUUAUGAAACGGAGGUAAUAUUUU
Brachypodium distachyon (stiff brome) is the source of this 125-nucleotide non-coding RNA. Lineage: Eukaryota; Viridiplantae; Streptophyta; Magnoliopsida; Poales; Poaceae. The record is from Rfam.